This is a long non-coding RNA of Passer domesticus (house sparrow), 633 nucleotides long. RefSeq lists it as uncharacterized. NCBI's taxonomy places the organism in Eukaryota, Metazoa, Chordata, Aves, Passeriformes, Passeridae. The record is from RefSeq and is a predicted model, not a curated record. The transcript is spliced from 2 exons.
AGCUGCCCACCCUGGCUAACAGCGAGGAGAGCUGAAAUAGAUGGAGAAGCUAUACCGACAAGAAAUUCUGGAGCUGGAAAAUGCCUAAAGAACUGAUUUUGGUGUUACAACAAAGGCAGACUUGUCUUAUGAGAAUCAAAAUUAUACUUAAUUGGAUUCUGCUUUGGGAGUUUCUGUCAAUCACAGAGCUGCGUGAAUUGGAAAAGACACACGACUGCAACAAUGAUGAACUUCUCCAGAGUCGCUCUGAGUGCUGGGGAUCACACUUCAUAAAGAGAUGUAGUAUCUUCAGAAUAAUUGUAUUGUUCUAAAGGGUAUCUUCUGAAUACCAAAAAUAACUUAAUUUUCUUUGAGGGCACACAUGAGGAGGAGACAUUCUUAGACUGAAGGUUGUGAAUAUUUCUGUAUUAGACUUCUCCACCUGAAGCAGCCUUGACUGCCUUCCUCCAUGUGUAAUUCCUGAGAAAAACAUAAACAAAUUGAGAAUUCCCUGUCCAGAAAACAGCCUGCCUUUGAUGCCAACCUGCAUAUCUGUGCAUCAUCUAGAGGAGGCAGGUGGUAAAUUAGCAGCAGGUACAGACUGCUAAUGAGUGAAUGUUUGUUGUUCUGGAAUAUUUGAGCUACUUAUUUUAA